Small nucleolar RNA from Panicum virgatum (switchgrass), 139 nucleotides. RefSeq annotates it as small nucleolar RNA Z247. Lineage: Eukaryota; Viridiplantae; Streptophyta; Magnoliopsida; Poales; Poaceae. The transcript has a single exon. The record is from RefSeq and is a predicted model, not a curated record.
CCAAUUGAUGACGAGGAAUUGAUCUUCUACAUCCUCACGGGCCUCGAUCUUGAGUACAACCCCAUCGUGUCAGCUGUUGUUACAAGGACUGAUGCGUUGACUAUGGGAGAGGUGUACUCACAGCUACUCAGCUUCGAGC